AGUCCGCGGCGGUCCUCGGGGAACGCCGAGUUGCGUGUCCCCAGCUCGAGGCAGCGUGAGCCUCUGCGUGCCCCCGGGGCGCCGCCCAAAGCCUUCGCUGCCUCUGGUUCCCCAGCUCAGCGGCCUGAGAGGUCCCCGGGUGCCCUCGCGCUCCUCGACCCCGAACAGACCCUCCCCCGUGGGGAGAUGUCCGCGGCAUGCAGAAGCGGCAGCCUAGCUUCCCGUUGGCGUCCACACCCCUGUCCUGCGGAGGCCAUGUCGUCAGCCACUCCCUCUCGCUGCUGGCCUUCGGAUGCUGAGGCUAUCGUCGCCCCUCCAUUUUUUUUUUUAUAUCCUUACAUGCCCUACUUUGAAAUCCCUGGCCCCUGAAGGUUUCGCAAUGGACCCUGUCCAGAGUUCCAUCUGCGGUUUUUCAUAUGCCGGACUCUGAGACGCUCCACGAUCUCAGUUCAGACAGUCCUUGUUCUGCCAUUCAUUCUAUAAACAUUCAGACUGAGCCUUCGUGGUGCACCUGUUUGCCACGCCCAGGAUCCACCUUCACCGAGCUGACAUAUUUCUACCAAAGAUAGAAACCUCUAUAUAGCAUUUAAUAGGUGAUAGCAGACACGGCUCAAACAGUGGUGCCACAGAAACCAUGGGCUGAAACGUCUGAAACUGUGAGCGAUAAUACACCCUUCCUCCUCUAAGUUGCUCUUGGUGAAUGAAAGCUGAUCCACACGUGCCUCCAGCGUGCUCCUGGGAGGAGACCCCCGUGGAAGGGUUCUUCGAGAGGUUGAGCAUGGCUGCCUUCCAGCGUCCAGAAGUGUGUUUCCAUGCUGGUUCUAAAUCCAGUCAAGCUGACAGGAUUAACUGUGAAAAUUCCACCCCUUGUCAACUGGAUGCCUGAACGUCCUCCUGGCUGAGACACCGCAGCCGAGGGUCCAGUUUCGUCACUCCGCACCGCUUGUGACUCUGUUUGGCCAUCUUUCUUUCCAAUGUAUGGAGUCCACCCUUUAAAAGCAUCUUCCCAUAGCUACUGCGGGCUCUGUAGACUCCUCUUCCACCACCUCGUCACCCUUGGGAACCUCCAAGAGGCUAGUCCCUCAAGACUCCAUGGAGCUCCUUGGCCGGUGCCAGCUGCCACUGCCAUCUUUGUUUUCUCUGAGUCAACUUUCUUUUAACCAAACGGGGAACGGGGACACAACAAGGGAAGAUCAGGCCAGCACGAAGACUAAAACCAUGCAGGGUGAACAACCGCUGCACCUCCAUUUCCAGUGUCUGACACUCUUGGAGGCAUCGUCUAAGCUCCAACACCCCCUUCUCAACGCUGCCCUCCGCAACACGCAGACUUUCUCUUAGGCCAGCUCCCCACUGCACCAACAGCUCUCUUUGGAACAAGACUAUGGGGUCACAGUCCUGGCAUCUCAACAUAUUUGCAUCUCCAUUGCAACUUAGGCUUUGCCUUUGCAACUGCACUUUCUGUUUAUGGGUGAGCGGCCUCCCAGGGUCUCCUUGUAGGGAAUCUUCUCCCACUGUGCACUGCUUAUCCUCGAUGUCUCCAUGACUCCCUCAACCCUUUGGCUUUCUUGCCUUCAAGAUGAGUAGCACACAGACACACUGCCAGAGUUCUGCUGUCAGCUUGAGAUGUGGCCUCGCUCUCCCACUACAGUUUGUAGCAGCCUAUGUGAGUCUUUGAGGCUGAGCCCCAGAAAGCUCUUCCCUAGGAGACAUCUGAGCAGGAACCCUGGGUGGCAGCAUUCUCAACUGAGGCUGCCUCCUUUCGAAUUGAAUUUGCAUCUCCACAGGCUGGAGCCUUCAGUGAUUUUGUACCUUUCCUGUUGUCCCCGUGCAGAUUGCAAGGCUCUGUCUUCAGUGUAUGCAUCACUUUUAACAUCACAGCUGCUUUCUCUACACACUUUUCUGCAACCUCAUAACUGCUCACACUUCCUGCCUUGGGUGAAAAAAAAAAGCACAUUUUUUGUAUCCUUCUGCUCCUCUGGCUGCUCUUUCCUACUGAAGAUCUGAGUCAAAGCAGAGAGCAGUAGCUAUGUUGCAGUCUGAAUGCUAACCUGUCUUCAAAUUUCCUGUAGCAAAUGCCGUAGUCCAUGAUCUUUUAAUUCAGCAUGGUCAAAUUUUCAGGAAGAAAGCAACCACAUUUUCUCCCCAGAGUAUAACUAAGCCUCUAGCCCUGUUCCUAAUAGAGUCUCUGUUCACCUCUGAUGUCUUGUAACAGUGUUUAUAUGUAUGUGAUCAUGUAUGUUCACGUAGACAUGCACAUGUAUGUACAGAUGUAUAUGUUCAGGUGCAAGUGGAGGCCAGACAUCAGCUACAAGUGUCAUUCCCAAAGAACUUUCUUCCUUGUUUUUUGAAAUGGGGGGGGGAAUGUCUCUCACUGGCCUAAAGUUAACCAGCAAGUGUAGAAUGGCUAGUCAUCAAGUCUCAGGGAUACACUUGACACAGUUCCCAGUGCGGAGAUUACACGUGUGCACCAUCAUACCUGGCUCCUUAAAAGUGAGUUCUGGGGAUCACUCUGAUUUUCACACUGCAAGACAAGCCUUUGCCAACCCAGCUACCAGCCCUACUGUCUUCUCUUUGCUCGAUUUGGGGGGCUUUUUUUAAAAAAGAAAAAUCCAUCUAGGACAUUACUGCCUUCAUGUAAUAACAUGAAACCACAAGAAGCAUGAUACAAGGCCAGCUCCAUGCUCUGGAUCUAGAUCUAUCUCACAGUGAUGCUGAAGUCUCGCCUCUUUGGUCCUACCUUGUGUCUCUCAUCCUCACUGAAGUUGGAACUACAACAUUUCAGGUUGCUUGCUCUCCCAAUUGUCCCCAGGUUUAAUUCUAGAAAUUUCAAUAAUAUCUAAUCAUCACUCCAUCAUGAGGCCUGAUCUAACCACACAAAUCUAGCCGUACCUGUCUCUUGAAGACUUGAACCCAUACACAUGGCACCAGGACAUGAUGUGGAUUGGUUCAAGCACCAUCGUACAAGGAAGAAGGGGGUUCCCCAGUUGUUGGAGGUAGGUGUCCCUGACACAGAUGGCGCUUCAUGAGUGGUGACCUUAGAAGCAACCUCAAGAAGAAGAUGCUGUGCCUAAUGAGGUCUUUGAAAAGCAACAGGAACAGGGAAACCAAGCUCCACAAAGAUGGGACCGGUUGGCUCCUGUGUCCAAACAACCUGCGGAAAGAUGAGGAGACAGAGCUGUCUCAGCAGCGGAUGUCUCAGCAGGACACCAGCGUGCCUGUAGUAGCCCCCAUCCCUGAGUGGAAGAGGCCAGGCCAUGCUGUUCUGUGAGAGCCAGAGUUAUGUGGAGGGGAUCUGGAAUCAAGAUGCUGCAUGGAUGUAAUUAAACAUGGGGGUCCAGAGUUCAGAUCCCUGCCUCAGUUUUCAGGCUUGGGACCUACUGUUGAAGGAGGCAGCCAGCCCAGGAGGGAGAAGCUGGUAGGCUGGGCAGGUUAAUACUCUGCCCACCACACUUACUUCUUGGCCAGAUAAAUCUGAGGGUGUUGGUCUGUGGUUCCUCUGU
Non-coding RNA from Peromyscus maniculatus bairdii (prairie deer mouse), 3500 nucleotides. Lineage: Eukaryota; Metazoa; Chordata; Mammalia; Rodentia; Cricetidae. The record is from RefSeq and is a predicted model, not a curated record.